Long non-coding RNA from Plutella xylostella (diamondback moth), 501 nucleotides. RefSeq lists it as uncharacterized. Lineage: Eukaryota; Metazoa; Arthropoda; Insecta; Lepidoptera; Plutellidae. The record is from RefSeq and is a predicted model, not a curated record.
UAAACAUAAAAGGUUGUCAUGACAGAUUAUCCCCUCGUCUCUCAAUGAUUUCCUAAUACCUAGGUAUGGAGUGAUUAUAAGAAUAAUACAAAGAGAAAAUGCUCCCAAAUUGCCUAAGGGGGCACAGUGAAUGGUUGAUGGUUCAGCCCUAAAAUGGAUAUGUCAGAUUGAAAGCUGCCGGUGAAUGCUAUAUAAUUGAUGUGAUGAGAUAUAGAAUCAGCAUGGAACAUGUGCCUCGUACGAGGAGCCAGCCCAAUCCAGCUAUACCAGCGUAUCCUGUACCCAGCAUCACGGACCAGGCCACUGCCUGCAAGUGCACCCCCGUGAAGGCAUAAAUUAUAAGUGUGCAUUUUGAUUGCUCGGUGAAGAAUACAUUUAGGAGAAAAGAUAAAUCAUACAUUUUGUUAUACUAUGCUGAUGUUUGCAAAUGUUACAUGAUACUACCUACUAAGAUAAAUAUGUUUUUUUGUAAAAUAAAGAAUAAAAAACUGUUAAACAGAA